This 23-nucleotide non-coding RNA is filed under the name Cricetulus griseus (Chinese hamster). Lineage: Eukaryota; Metazoa; Chordata; Mammalia; Rodentia; Cricetidae. The record is from RNAcentral.
AGAAGGGGACUCUGGCCAUCUCU